AUACGGAGGAUGCAAGCGUUAUCCGGAUUUAUUGGGUUUAAAGGGUGCGUAGGCGGUUUGCUAAGCGGGAGGUGAAAUGCCGGCGCUCAACGUCGGAAGUGCCUCCCGAACUGGUGGACUUGAAUGACUCUGCCGUGGGAGGAAUGUGUAGUGUAGCGGUGAAAUGCUUAGAGAUUACACAGAACACCGAUUGCGAAGGCAUCUCACGAAGGGUUGAUUGACGCUGAGGCACGAAAGCGUGGGGAUCAAACAGGAUUAGAUACCCUGGUAGUCCACGCAGUAAACGAUGAUGGCUAACCGCUGGGCUUAUCAGUUCAGUGGCCAAGCGAAAGCGAUAAGCCAUCCACCUGGGGAGUACGACCGCAAGGUUGAAACUUAAAGGAAUUGACGGGG
This 393-nucleotide ribosomal RNA is filed under the name uncultured bacterium. Its description in RNAcentral is "partial 16S ribosomal RNA". It matches the Rfam family "Bacterial small subunit ribosomal RNA", at positions 523 to 918 of the family's 1533-position model. The record is from RNAcentral.